RNAcentral lists this ribosomal RNA (253 nucleotides) under uncultured bacterium. Its description in RNAcentral is "partial 16S ribosomal RNA". It matches the Rfam family "Bacterial small subunit ribosomal RNA", at positions 524 to 776 of the family's 1533-position model. The record is from RNAcentral.
GACGAACCAUGCAAACGUUAUUCGGAUUCACUGGGCUUAAAGCGUGCGUAGGCGGUCUUGUUAGUCAGGUGUGAAAGCCCUCAGCCUAACUGAGGAAUUGCGCUUGAUACUGCAUGACUAGAGAAUGAUAGAGGUGGGUGGAACUGAUGGUGGAGCGGUGAAAUGCGUUGAUAUCAUCAGGAACACCAGUGGCGAAGGCGGGUCUCUGGGCCGAUACUGACGCUGAGGAGCGAAAGCGUGGGGAGCAAACAGG